CCUACGGGUGGCUGCAGUCGAGGAUCUUCGGCAAUGGGGGCAACCCCGACCGAGCGAUGCCGCGUGCGCGACGAAGGCCUUCGGGUUGUAAAGCGCUGUCGGGGGGGAGAAAGGGAAACUUGAUCGAUCCCCGGAGGAAGCUCGGGCUAAGUUCGUGCCAGCAGCCGCGGUAAGACGAACCGAGCGAACGUUGUUCGGAAUUACUGGGCUUAAAGGGCGCGUAGGCGGGCGGCCGCGUCCGGGGUGAAAUCCCGCCGCUCAACGGCGGGACGGCC
Molecule: ribosomal RNA, 275 nt
Filed under: uncultured Gemmata sp.
Lineage: Bacteria; Pseudomonadati; Planctomycetota; Planctomycetia; Gemmatales; Gemmataceae
Description: partial 16S ribosomal RNA
Rfam family: Bacterial small subunit ribosomal RNA
Source: RNAcentral